GUGCAUUGGACAGGCCACGCUCGCCGUCGGUCGAGAGAAGGCCUCCCUGGCCCCCAAGUGCCUGUGAUUGGUGGGACCGCUGGAAAAGGUGUGCCCUGCUAUGGGAAUCUUACCGACAGGAGCACCCAGACGUGGACACACCAGGCUCGCCAUUGGCGGAGAGAAGAAGGCCUCCCUGGUCUCCGAGUACCUGUGGUUGGCGGGACUGCUGGAAGAGGUGUUGCCUGAGACGGGCACCUUGCUGACUGGAGCGUCCGGACGGUAAGCCUUCCCUGGGUGUCAGCUAGUGCCCCUGGCUUUAGGCUUUCGCAAGCCUGUCCAAAAGGCCACUAAGGAAGGUUGCUGGAAGGACAUGUGGGGUUUUGAACCCAGAGGGGCCUGUCCUUUAAUGGCUCUGCAUGUCCUGGGCCACAGGAAGACCCUGAGUCCUUCAGCUUGUCCCGCUGAGCCAUCUGGCCCACCAGGGUCGGCUGUGCAGGUGGCCCCGAAUGUGCUCGGAUCGAUGAUGACUCCCUCAACAGCAUUCCUUGGAAAGCUGAACAAAAUGAGUGAGAACUCCCUACCGUCUUUCUCGUCGAAACUGAGGUCCAGCACAUUGUCUACCCCAGGGAAGGUAAGGGUCAGGGACAGCAGGCUUCCCCUUGGUCACACUCCUUCAAGCACCAGCACCCACAGCCUCUGCCUAGGAGAGCCUCACGGGGGACUCAUGGUCAGGGAAGCAUUUACCACCUGAGCAGGGUUUCCAAGGCAUGCAGGUCCUGAGGGGAAUGGUCGGCGACUGGGGUCGAGGGGGGCAGCCGGUCCCCCAAGGCCUAGGGCUUCAACGGCGUGUCUUGUGGCACCGGCCCUUGGGAGUCGAGGGCUGGGACCUGUGUAGGCCAGGAUGGCCCCACAGGCAUAAGCUCGUGGCAGUGUGUGUUGAGAGGCCAAGCAUGGCAAGCUUGCCUGGCCUGUGGGUGGGGGUGCAGAGGCCCAGCCCGAGGCAGCAGCGAUCCCUGGACGAGCCCUUUCUCUCACUGACGUACGUGGAGCGGCCCCUGGCUCGGGCUUCUGGGCCAAGGCAAGAGGCCGGGCUGCGGCACCGGCCAGGUUGGAAACAUCGGCCCUGCCCGGCGUGGCGAGCGGAGCCCCUGGGUAGCUUGGUCACGCCCGCGGGCGAUUGCUCCCCCUUUCUCAGGUGCAGUGGCCACGCCAGGCUCGCGGUCGGCCGAGAGAAGAAGGCCUCCCUGGCCCCCGAGUGCCUGUGGUUUGCGGUACGGCCGGAAGAAGUGUGGCCCGGAACGGGCACCUUGCUGACGGGAGCGUCCGGACGGUGCAGUGGCCACGCCAGGCUCGCGGUCGGCCGAGAGAAGAAGGCCUCCCCGGCCCCCGAGUGCCUGUGGUUUGCGGUACGGCCGGAAGAAGCGUGGCCCGGAACGGGCACCUUGCUGACGGGAGCGUCCGGACGGUGCAGUGGCCACGCCAGGCUCGCGGUCGGCCGAGAGAAGAAGGCCUCCCCGGCCCCCGAGUGCCUGUGGUUUGCGGUACGGCCGGAAGAAGCGUGGCCCGGAACGGGCACCUUGCUGACGGGAGCGUCCGGACGGUUAAUGUGAACCAAAACCUUGGUUUCAUAUGAAUAAAAAGUAUCUCCUUCCUCUUGAGAUGUGACA
This 1649-nucleotide long non-coding RNA is filed under the name Felis catus (domestic cat). RNAcentral describes it as "lncRNA (ENSFCAG00000051262.1)". The stretch from base 497 to 589 matches the Rfam family "Small nucleolar RNA SNORD116". The record is from RNAcentral. Lineage: Eukaryota; Metazoa; Chordata; Mammalia; Carnivora; Felidae.